CACGUGGGAGGCGAGCGUUGUCCGGAGUUACUGGGCGUAAAGCGCGCGCAGGCGGCCGCGGCCGCCCGCCGUGACAGCCCCCGGCUCAACCGGGGAGGGUCGGCGGGAACGGCGCGGCUGGAGGGCAGGCGAGGCCGGUGGAAUUCCCGGUGUAGUGGUGAAAUGCGUAGAUACCGGGAGGAACACCAGUGGCGCAGGCGGCCGGCUAGGCUGCCCCUGACGCUGAGGCGCGAAGGCCGGGGGAGCGAACGGG
RNAcentral lists this ribosomal RNA (253 nucleotides) under uncultured bacterium. RNAcentral describes it as "partial 16S ribosomal RNA". It matches the Rfam family "Bacterial small subunit ribosomal RNA", at positions 524 to 776 of the family's 1533-position model. The record is from RNAcentral.